AUCAAAGGUUGAGUGUUUAGAAGGAGAAAGCUUCAGCCAUUGCAGCGUUCCUGCGCGAGCUAGCACUCCCGCGGAAGACGAUCUACCUAGGGCUUCGCGUGGACAAUCUAUAAAGACCAGAUACGUGUGCGGCUGCAAAGCGUGAUCAAGAAGUCAUCCAAGAACUCCAAGGAAUCAGAUCCAAGAUCAUGAGAAAUGACUCCUGUGGAGAAUCUCUUGGCCAUAAAUCUUAGGUGAAACCUCAUUAUCAUUUAUAUUUCUAGUAAAGUCGCAUUACGUGUACUAUACUGAAGUUGUACAUAUGACAAGGACACAACAUUCUGUUGGAUUUUUUAGUUCGUUGCACUCCCAUCAAAAGCAAAUAGAAGUGGUUGUUUGCAAUUUAGAGGUUGAUUUUUAUUAGUGAUAACUGAUAAAGGAAGGUUUUAUAUAAAUAUUCGAUAAAAUAAUAGAUAUGAUUUAACUCAUAUGAUUUUGAUGAGUUUACAUGAUUAAGUUGUGAUCAGCAAGAGAGUUAGCUUUCUCAUAUCGUAGCUUUAUAAAAAUAGACAAAAUUAAAUAGACUGCUUAAUAUAAUAUUAGUUGGUAAUAAUAAUUGUAUGAAAACACAAGAAGUGCAUAAAUUCAUUUUUUUAUAAUUAGUACGACAAUAUAAAUAAAAUUAUGAACAACUCACUCUUUUUAAAUAUGCUUGUUUAUAAAAAAACAAUAUUUAGAGGCAUCAUCUAUUUAGCAUAUAAUACAUUGGAGACAAUCUAUUUAGUACUAAAGGCAUUGAAAAAAUGUAAAAUUUAUAAGAUGUUGGAGGAAACGGACAAAGCAUCUUCAUAUACAUCCUUGUUGUCUUUUUCAGCGAACUAAAAAUGGUAAACUCUAUUUGGUAUAUUAUAAUAUUGAAGUUUUUAGAAAAUAUUUUUCUGGAUAUCUCCUUAGCAGUUUCUAAGUUUUUUAUUAUUAUAUUUAUAUAUGAUAAUCUAUAAGUAGUUUUCACAAGCCAAAAGUUCUAUUAUUUAAUUUUUGUACAAUAAACAACUAAAAUAAAGAUUAUAUACUAAUGAGAUUUAUAUUCAACAUUAUAUACUAAUGCGAGAUUUUAUUUGUUACAAUAUAUACCUCAACCAUCACCAUUUGUUUAUAUAACGACUAUUGCAAAGGUCAUCUAAUAGCAACGAUUUGAAAUUACAAUCAGAUGGAUCAUAUGAUUGGGGAAUGCCGAAAAGUCAUGAGCUCAAACUGGUUGGGCUUUAAAAGAACAAAGCUUGCUCGCUUCCGGCUCAACUGUGCAUUCGUUCAGCGGUGGGGCAUCAUAAAAACAUAUUUUAUAUCUACUUUUAUUUUUUAUAAAAAAAAUAUCACUCAAAAGUUAUUCCAAAAAAAAAGGGGCCUUUUGCUAUUUAAAAGUGGAACAAAAAAAGAUUGGCAUAACUCAUAGAAUAACUAUGCUCACAUACUUCACUCUUACUAUUUCCGUUUUCCAUAGAUCCAAAUCAAACGUAGUCCAAGGCUAUUGAACAUUCCAAGACCAUGGAGUAUCGAAACAAUAACGAUCAACAUCUACAUUUAUAUUGUAUUACUUAAACAGACCCUCCAAGUGAUGACCGAUAUAAUUGCACAAGUCUGCGACCAAAAAGAAAUAUCUAGCUUUUUAAACUAGCCAAAGAUAAAUCGAAUAUCUUUACUGCUAGUGGCAAACUGCAAGCCAGCAUGGCAAAAUCAAAAGCACAAUGCAGCUAUUCAUUCAAACAGUCAAACCUGCUAACUGUUCCCCAGCUCAUGCACAGAGAAAUACUCCAAACCAUUCAAAUGGGACAUUAGCUUUCCUCCAAUUACUGGUAAUCAACUUUGAUUCCUAAUACUUGCUGAAAGAGAAAUACUUUGAAUGAACAAAAUACAGAGACCAAAUUCAUGAGGCAAAACUAACACCAAAUACAGAGACCAAAUUCAUGAUGCAUAAGUAACACCAUUUGACCCACAAUCC
Non-coding RNA from Phoenix dactylifera (date palm), 1978 nucleotides. The record is from RefSeq and is a predicted model, not a curated record. NCBI's taxonomy places the organism in Eukaryota, Viridiplantae, Streptophyta, Magnoliopsida, Arecales, Arecaceae.